CAGUUGCCCAUCCCCACCCAUGGGCAUGUAUUAGUCUAGAUGAUACCGGAACAAUAGUUCAGAUUCUUCAGGGAGAAUGCCUUUGAUGGACGGAACAGAAACUAGGCAUGAUGGUUGGGGAUUGGAUUGCAGGUACAGAAAACGGCCUGGGAAGAUUUUAAGAGGGAGGAGGAAGGCUGAGGAGCAGGUGAGUUAGGAGCUUCACUCACUCCUCUGUGGCACAUGGCAGGGAUGGCUUCUCAAAUGAACUGUGAGCUCAUUUAGGAGAACCACCUUUUUCCUGUAUGAAAUCUGAAGAAAAUGUAAUAUGUUUUGUUGUUUAUUUUUCUUUCCAUAGAACACUCUUUCAACUUCCUGUGGUAGGUGUUGUUAGGGACCAGUGUCGUCAUGGGUACAGGAUACAGCCACGGAGGAAUGGGUCAUGGUCUCACCUAUGGCAGUGGUGGUUACUACAGAAGCACAGGCCUGUCCAUCUUGAAAAGAUGUAAUGUAUUGUCUAUGGGGCAGAUGGGAGGGCUUGGCUGGUUUAUUGUAGAGGUUUCAGGUUUAGUUAGAGAUGGGGAGAAGAGGCCUCUUCUGAGAUAUCUGUGGUUCUAGUUUUCAAAGGGAAUUGAAUCUGUGAUGAGAGGAGAAUCCAGCCACUACAUGUCCAGGAAGAGGAGGGUGAUCUCAGAGAUGCCAUCUCUGCUUUGGUGGGCCUUGCUAUUGGCAUGGGAGAUGCUUUAGAGGGACAUAUUUCUGUUGGCCAGGGAGUGGAGGACAGGGCUCCAGAACCUGGGGAGGGAAUUGAGGAGGACUUCGUGUUGCUGCUGCUGGCAGGUCAUUUUUCUGUGUCUGAAGGGAAUCUGUAAGAAUAGCACAUAUUCAAAAAUCUCCCUUCAUUUUGUUCCCAGGAGCUCCCGAGACCAGCAUAGCUCUGCUAUUUCUUGUGCAAAUGAUCUUCUCCGCAGUCUUUCUGGCAUAACCUUGAUGUCCACAACACUGGCAGCAACUUCCAGGCAAGGAAACUCUUUGGAACUCUAACCAUCUCCUUUCUGUCCUUAGGUGAGCAGCCCUAGCUUGUGGUCCAUGGUGAACACCAUCCAUGUGGUGUCCAGUUCAAGGGGGGGCAGCAGGUUUGGCACUGGUGUAGCACUGUGGAGGUUAGGGACAGGGCAGGUUUCAGCCAGGGAGACUGGGGUCUGUAUUGUCCCAUUAGCUGUGGGAGGAGGAUAACAGCCCUAGACUGCAAGAGUUAAGGGAUGAGUUUGACAGUGAGGCAGGUACUGCGUGGAUGUUCCACUGCAACUCCAAAGGAGACACAGACAGAAAUCAGUGAGGAUGGGGGCAGCAAGUGUGGGUGGAGGGAGGGCCUCACAGAAGCUUCCUGGCAGUGUCUGCUCUUAUUCCAUCGACUUAGAAGUGGAAGGCGUAUGUUUACGUGGGGCUUGCAGCAGACCUGUCUGACAUCGGAUGUGAACAGAAAGGCCCUGUAGUCCUGCUCCCUGUCCUCAGCAACUGUGGAAGCCCAAGGUCCCUUGAUCUAGGAACUGCUGACAAGUCCAGAAUCCGUGGGACAAAACAUCAGGUUGAAGAUAGAAAAAGAGCCAUAGUUCAAGUUCAAAGGCAGCUGCUGGCAGAAAUCCUCAAGGGAGACUAACUAGUCUUUUUGACUGGGGCUAUUUAUAUGAAGACCAACAUUAUGUGCUUUAGUUAAACUCCAGUGAUUUAAAUGUUAAUUAAAAUGAAAAAAUACCUUCACAGAAAAAUCUACAGUAAUGUUUGACCUGGCUACUGUGACCUAAUCAUACAUAUGUGUGUGUGCUUACACACACACACACACACACACACACACACACAUGCAUGCACACAUGUAUGCAACACAAUGCCAGGUGAGAGGUAGUGGGAUAGAAAGACUAAAAUUGAUAAUUUUUGGAAGUGACUUGGGAAGGGUUCCUUUCCUUUUCCUGAAAAUACUGAGCACUAGAAUUAGGGGUUAUGAGACUCUGAAACAGCUUUGAUCUUUGGUUUCACAAUCUGACAACAUUAAGAAGUACAGAAGCAAACAGUUAUUUUUUCUCUCUAGUACUGGUACUCAGUAUUAACUGUAGAUUUUGACUUUCCAUUGAAAAAAUGGCAGAUUUGAUUUUCUUCCUAUUUUGAAUGAUUAAGAAUUACUCUAUAAGGUUUGGGGCUCCAGUGUUCUGUCUCCAGAUUCUUGGAUUUCUUUUUGAUUCCUUUUGAUUCCUCCUUCUGGCUUCCUGUUGCUUUCAUAGCACAGGGAACUACUCCAAGCCUUUACUUGUUAAUCAUCAUGCCCAGGGCUCAGAGAGUGGGUAUUAUUCAUUCUAAAGAAAGGAGCCCAGAAAUGAAAGCCUACCACAACAUUGCAUAAAAAAGCUUCAAGGUCUUGUGAGGCAAAGGGAUAGGGCUGUCUUUGUAUUAUGCUUCAUGGUCUGGGCAUGCAACUGUGAGGGUUCAUCCUGGCUCCUUCAAUUAGUUCAAAGAGACCAUGGGAAGAAGCAUCCUCCACACUAGGAGAAAUGCCCACCAAAGCAGAAGUGACACCUCUGAAGCCACCCUACACCUGAAGAUAACAUGAAGAGAAAUGAAGACAAGAAUCCCUCCUAGCAACCCUCACCCUUCUUUCCAUCAACUACCGUGAAAACACACAAGUUCAGGAACAUCUGCCUCCAGACAGAUUUGAGGAGAAUGACAUCUCCAUUCAAGGUUUUCUUGCAGUGGAUCAGUGAACCACACUGUCAGCAUCUAGCACCCAGCAGAAAGUAGACUGAGGCACUAUGGACCCUUGUAUAGAUUAUGUGUACUGUGGCCAAGACAAGCUAGUUCUUCUAGCUGCUGCCUACUCAGAACUGCUGCUUCUGUUGGCUUGAAAGAUCAUGAAAAUAAAAUGAGAGAGAAGGUCCAUCUUCAGCUCUGCCUUUUGCCUCUUUCCAAACAUUUGAGAAGCCAGUAUGCAUUAAAGUAAUUGACUUGAAUGUCAGGUCCUCCUGAAUUCCCUCCUUACCCCCUUUCAGUUAGGGAAGUGACAUCUCUUUCAUAUUCUCUCCAUGACCACUCCUGCUCCAAAGAUGAAGGACUCUACCUCUGUCUCUGAGUGUGGUUGCUUUGAAGUCUGCAAUGCUUUAACCUGCUCCUUCAGUAAAUCCCCUGGUUACUGAU
This is a long non-coding RNA of Peromyscus eremicus (cactus mouse), 3162 nucleotides long. RefSeq lists it as uncharacterized. NCBI's taxonomy places the organism in Eukaryota, Metazoa, Chordata, Mammalia, Rodentia, Cricetidae. The record is from RefSeq and is a predicted model, not a curated record. The transcript has 2 exons.